This 338-nucleotide long non-coding RNA is filed under the name Hordeum vulgare. RNAcentral describes it as "long non-coding RNA (HVUL_LNC016370)". Lineage: Eukaryota; Viridiplantae; Streptophyta; Magnoliopsida; Poales; Poaceae. The record is from RNAcentral.
AUCCGAAGACACACCAGGAACAUGCAUCCGUGAUGACAAAGACAAAUGGUUGAAGACAAGUCAAGGACAAACUUGGGACACUUCUCAAGAAGAAGAUAUCAAUGAGAGGCCUACAAUGACGCACUUCAACACUCUCAAGACCAAAGACCACCUGCAUUUAAAGAUCACCUGCUUUAAGGAAGUCAACGACCUGCCCGUCAACGGGGAUCCACACCAAGACUCGGCCAUUCUAGAUUAAGAUGAGACAUCUAGAUGUCGCUAACCAACAUGAGUAACCCCCAGGACCAGCAAACAGACACACUACUUUGUCACUCCGACUUUGGAAUACACACGCAAAC